Molecule: ribosomal RNA, 253 nt
Filed under: uncultured bacterium
Lineage: Bacteria
Description: partial 16S ribosomal RNA
Rfam family: Bacterial small subunit ribosomal RNA
Source: RNAcentral
GACGAGGGGUCCUAGCGUUGUUCGGAAUCACUGGGCGUAAAGCGUUUGUAGGCGGCCCUGUAAGUCGGGUGUGAAAUCCCAUGGCUCAACCAUGGAAGUGCAUUCGAAACUGCUGAGCUUGAGUACUUAAGAGGAUCGCGGAAUUCCCGGUGUAGAGGUGAAAUUCGUAGAUAUCGGGAGGAACACCAGUGGCGAAGGCGGCGAUCUGGGAAGAUACUGACGCUGAGGUGCGAAAGCGUGGGGAGCAAACAGG